ACACAAGAUCUGAGAAACCCUGCAAAGUAUUAUCUGAUCCUCACAGUGUUUUCUUUUCUAUAAUUGUAGGUGAUCUCAAUAAUGAGUGAAAAUGGUCUGUAUUCUGGAACACUCAUGUGUUGAGGAAAAAUCCAGAUGAACAGAAAGGUGGGGCUUUCUUGCUGGCUUUAGUCUGGAGAGCCUCCCUGAUUCCAGCCUCCUGCUGGGAAUGAGGAUCGGGAGUGUGGUGUAAGGAACUCUGUUUCCAGGAGGAUGGCCCAGCAGCAGCUCAGUCCAUGCUUCUUAACCAACCAUAUCCAUAGACUCUAGUUCCGUGUCCACAUCAAACAAGGCUCGCUGAGCAAUUCCUGAGCAACACCACCCAUGACUGACAGUUACUCUGUGUCCUUCUCACUCCCCAUGAGGGCCUGUGGAAGGAGCUUUCUCAAGAGAGGUCCGAGGAAGGGACCCUGUCUAAUGCCAAGCCACCAAGAGAACCAAAACCAAAAAAAAAUGUGCAAACAGUCCUCACCUUGAUCUGCUCCUCACACUGCUCACUUGUGUAAUUGAGACCGUCUCAAGAGCAAGAGGAAACUGUGAAAAUUCUGAACGACCUCACUGGCUGAGGAAGACAUUUAG
This is a long non-coding RNA of Diceros bicornis minor, 618 nucleotides long. RefSeq lists it as uncharacterized. NCBI's taxonomy places the organism in Eukaryota, Metazoa, Chordata, Mammalia, Perissodactyla, Rhinocerotidae. The transcript is spliced from 3 exons. The record is from RefSeq and is a predicted model, not a curated record.